RNAcentral lists this ribosomal RNA (254 nucleotides) under uncultured bacterium. RNAcentral describes it as "partial 16S ribosomal RNA". It matches the Rfam family "Bacterial small subunit ribosomal RNA", at positions 524 to 776 of the family's 1533-position model. The record is from RNAcentral.
CACGUAGGGUGCGAGCGUGGUCCGGAAUUAUUGGGCGUAAAGAGCUCGUAGGCGGUGUGUCGCGUCGGCCGUGAAAACCUGCAGCUUAACUGUGGGCGUGCGGUCGAUACGGGCAUCACUGGAGUUCGGCAGGGGAGACUGGAAUUCCUGGUGUAGCGGUGAAAUGCGCAGAUAUCAGGAGGAACACCGGUGGCGAAGGCGGGUCUCUGGGCCGAUACUGACGCUGAGGAGCGAAAGCGUGGGGAGCAAACAGG